RNAcentral lists this ribosomal RNA (441 nucleotides) under uncultured bacterium. RNAcentral's name for it is "partial 16S ribosomal RNA". It matches the Rfam family "Bacterial small subunit ribosomal RNA", at positions 338 to 795 of the family's 1533-position model. The record is from RNAcentral.
CCUACGGGAGGCAGCAGUGGGGAAUAUUGCACAAUGGGGGAAACCCUGAUGCAGCGACGCCGCGUGAGUGAAGAAGUAUUUCGGUAUGUAAAGCUCUAUCAGCAGGAACGAGACAAGACGGUACCUGACUAAGAAGCCACGGCUAACUACGUGCCAGCAGCCGCGGUAAUACGGAGGGGGCAAGCGUUAUCCGGAAGCACUGGGUGGAAAGGGAGCGUAGACGGCUGUGCAAGCCUGAAGUGAAAGGCGGGGUCCCAACCCCUGGACUGCUUUGGGAACUGUACGGCUGGAGUGCAGGAGAGGUAAGUGGAAUUCCUAGUGUAGCGGUGAAAUGCGUAGAUAUUAGGAGGAACACCAGUGGCGAAGGCGGCUUACUGGACUGUAACUGACGUUGAGGCUCGAAAGCGUGGGGAGCAAACAGGAUUAGAUACCCCUGUAGUC